RNAcentral lists this long non-coding RNA (937 nucleotides) under Homo sapiens (human). RNAcentral describes it as "ANKRD34C antisense RNA 1". Lineage: Eukaryota; Metazoa; Chordata; Mammalia; Primates; Hominidae. The record is from RNAcentral.
GAGAGCAGCGUUGGCCGGGGGCUAGGGAGCCGGGCUGUUCCACGCUCACUGUGCGCCUCGGGCGGCGGGGCUCGGGCUCUGUCCGAGGUGCUGAACUCCGGGGCUCCGGCCGCGCCGGCAGAGUGUGCCAGCGUCCAUUAUUGCCAGUGUCUGUGGGCAUCUUCCAGAAGGCCGAGCAUGGGGGUCAGGUGAAACCAGGGCGCCAUGAAUAUCAAUUAUUACAGAAAUGAAAAGGGAUCCUGCACCCAAAUUCAAAUCAAGCAAGUUCACCUAGAGGUUGCCGUGGGGUGGAGGGCCCAGAUCUGGGCUGUUUGGAUCUCUCUGCAGGAUGAAAGGGAUUUCCUGGACCUGGCUUUGCUGUCCCUUGCUCCUUUUCCAUGUGAGACUCGCCUGCUUCUCCUUUGCCUCCCACCAUGACUGUAAGUUUCCUGCGACCUCCCCAGCCGUGCUUCCUGUACAGCCUGCAGAACUGUUCAUAGGCAGAAGUAACUUGCCUUGUCUCAGAUGAAGCUUUGGACUGUGGACUUUUGAGUUAAUGCUGAAAUGAGUUAAGACUUUGGGGGACUGUUGAGAAGACAUGAUUGGUUUGAAAUGUGAGGACAUGAGAUAUGGGAGGGGCCGAGGUGGAACGAUAUGGUUUGGCUGUGUCCCCACCCAAAUCUCAUCUUGAAUUGUAGCUCUCACAAUUCCCACAUGUCAUGAGAGGGACCUGGUGGGAGAUAAUUGAAUCACUGGGGCGGGUCUUUUUCGUGCCAUUCUCAUGAUAACAAAUAAGUCUCAUGAGGUCUGAUGGUUUUAUAAGGGGGGGUUUCCCUGCACAAGUUCUCUCUUCCCUGCCACCAAGUAACACAUGUCUUUUGCCUUCUGCCAUGACUGUGAGGCCUCCCCAGCCAUGUGGAAUUGUACUUCCAUUAAACGUCUUUUCCUUUAUAAAUUA